RNAcentral lists this long non-coding RNA (6760 nucleotides) under Capsicum annuum. Its description in RNAcentral is "long non-coding RNA (CANN_LNC021100)". Lineage: Eukaryota; Viridiplantae; Streptophyta; Magnoliopsida; Solanales; Solanaceae. The record is from RNAcentral.
CUCGGAGCUCUUUCAUUGCAAUCUUUAAAGCUAAUGAACAUUAAGGAAGAUACAUCAGACAUUACAUAAACUUUACAAGAAGAAACUCCUGUUUGCCAUUGACUUCAGAUAAAAGUUUUCUUGAUAAGUCACUGACUGCAGGGAAAAAGGAAAAGGACAGUCUCACGACUCACCUUAAGAGGAUCAGUUUCACAACUCACCUUGGAUGUUUUCUGAGGUCGCUCCUCAGGUGCUCUGGUUUUGCCUCACCUUCACCCAUUAGGGGGUCUGGUACACUCUCAGUGUUGCCAUUUUCUUCUUGUAACUCUGAUCCUUCGUACUAACGAAACACGUUAAUGUUUGAUAAUUAAUAUAGUUAUGAAACAUGCAUGAAUUGCAUCCAAAUACUGAGGAGUAUGAAAACAAAUUAUCUUACAUCAGGCUAGGGCUCUAUGGGCUCAUCCUCAUAUCUGCAUCAAUAUACAUAGUUAAAUGACUAAUACAUAUAAAAGAAACCAAAUGACCUUUCCUACAGUUCAACAUAAUUUCUUCACAAUAACUAAAUAAACAAUGGACGACAAAAAGGAACCAGUAAAAUUAAGCUUCUGUGUAACAAUAAAGGAUAACUUUUUGUAUAACUAACCACGUCAAAACAAUACUAACGCACAAGGUCCGUGCCAUGCCACUAUCACUAGAUACAGAAUCCCCAGAAUUUGUGACUUCAUGGUUCCAUGAGAUGCAUCUCCUGAGGCUCAAGCAUGCAGAAGAUUUGAGAAACUCUAGCGAGUAAACUUCAACUUUAACUCCUUAAGCUAAUUGCGCCCUAUGGCUUCAUCUUACUCUGACACUUAACUACCGCCCUCAUAGAAACUCAAUUCACGUUCAAGAAGUUACUGGACUUCUUGAAGUUUGGUAUACUCCAUCAUGCGAUUAGCUAAUCAUAUUUCAAACAGUGGAAAAAGCUCAUACAACAUCAAAAGCCCCAUGGCCCAAACCACCCACAUUGCUACCCCUCCAUCACCAUCCCUAAUAGUGAAUGUUCUCGCUCUGCAGCAAGUCAAUCAAACCAGGAACAUUUAAACAAUACAACAAAGCUCCAACUUUGCUAAGGGAAAUAAUAAUAGCAUUGUGAGCCAAAGGAAUCGAUCAAUGAAAACCAUGUUGGUUUCAAGACAAUGGAACAUUGAGUUAAUUGAUGCACUUAUAGAUGGUGGUUACCAACAAAGUGCUUAUGAUCAUUCAAUCUUUAUCUAGAAGAUUGGUUUUGACAUUAUUGUUGUCUUAGUUGGUUUUGACAUUGUUGUUGUCUUAGUUUAUGUGGAUGAUCUCUUCAUCACUGAGAGCAACCUCGAGUUGAUUCAACAAGCAAAUGAUACAUUCCAUAGAGCAUUCAAGGUCAAGGAACUAGUUCAGUUGAGACAUUUUCUUGGAAUUGAAGCGUUGAUAUAAACUAAAGUAUUCUACUUAACUAGAGGUGAGUAUGUGUUUGAGUUGAUCUCUGAAAUUGGUUUGAGUGGAGCUAAGCCAGCUGUGACAUCUAUGGAGCUUAACCAGAAGCUCACUGCCGUAGAACUAGAAUAUGACAUUCAUGUGGGAAAAACUGAUGAUCCAGAAUUAGUUGAUGUACUCAGUCAGUUCAUGCAAAAACCUAAGCACUCUCACAUGGGUGCUCCUGGUCUGGAAAUUCUAUACAAAGCAAGUAAUAUCAAUACUAUGAUUAUAAAUUGUGAUGUUCUGACUGGGCAGCUUACCCUAACACUACGAGAUCAGUGGCAUGGUCAAGUUAGGUGACUCCUUGAUUUCAUGGAAAUCUAAGAAGCAGCAUACAGUUAGCAGUAAGCACGAGCUCUGCAGAGGCAGAGUACUGGAGUGUGGUUGUGGCAACAGCAAAGUGCAGAGAUCACCUGGUUAGUUGGUUUCUUGGCUGAGCUUGGUUGGAAUUACAAUUGCCUGUGCAAUUGUAUAGUGAUAAUAAAGUUGCUCUUCACGUAGCAGUUAAUUCCAUCUUCCAUGAGAGGAUCAAACACAUUGAUAUAGAUUGUCAUUUUGUCCGGAAAAGUUCAAGUGGGGGUUGAUUACGAAUGCUUAUAUUGCUACUGAAUUGCAAUUAUCUGAUCUUAUGGCCAAAGGACACACUGGUUCUCUUCCAAACUUAAAGUGUUUGACGCCUUACCCUCCACCCUACAACUUGGGGGGGAGUACCGGAUACCACCCUCCGACUUGGGGGGGAGUACCGGAUAUAUAUUGACACAAGUGUGAAAGGCUCUUUAGUCACAAUGUAAUAACAUAGAGGCCUUAGUUGUCUUUUCCUGACUUGAUCAGUUGAGUCACUUGCCUAGUUCGGAGAAGAUUUUUAUAGGAGGGGAUUUUAAUGGGCACAUCGGGUCAUUGCCGUUAAGGUAUGAUGAUGUGCAUGGAGGCUUUGGGUUCGGGGUUAGGAAUGAUGAGGGAGCUGCUCUUUUGGAGUUUGCAAGGACCUUUGGGUUGGUGGUAGUGAAUCCCAGUUUUCCGAAGAAGGAGCAUCUGGUUACUUUCCGUAGUAGGUUAGCCAAAACUCAGAUUAACUUUUUGCUGCUUAGGAACGGGGAUAGAGCUUUGUGUAAGGAUUGUAAGGUAAUCCCAAGUGAGAAUUAUGCGACCCAGCAUAGCAUAGACUCCUAGUGAUGGACCUGGCUAUCAAGAAGGGCAAGAAAAGGCGGGGUGGGAAGGGUCCACCUAACUCUAGGUGGGGCGGACAGACUCCGAUUAGUGCUUUGGAGAUAGGGGCGAAGUUGGAGGGGAUGGGGGUGUGGGAGUGUGGGGGGACGUGGAUAGUAUGUGGGAUAGGGUUGCUGGUUGCAUCAAGGAGUCUGCUAGAGAGGUGUUGGGUGUAUCAAGGGGCUGGUCUGGCCAGUAUCCGGGGGAUUAGUGGUGGAAUGAAGAUGUUAAGAAGAAGGUGGAGACAAAGAAGGCGGCUUAUGCUAAGUUGGUUAAGAGUAAGGAUGAAGAGGAGAAGCGGGUGAGCAGGGAGGAGUACAAGUUAGCUAAGAAGGAGGCUAAGUUAGUAGUUACGGCUGCUAAGACAGCAGCUUUUGAGAGUUUGUAUAAGAGGUUAGAGGAGAAAGGUGGGAAAAAAGGUUGUUUAGGCUUGCCAAGGUUAAGGAGUGGAAGGGGCGGGAUCUGGAUCAAGUGAAGUGCAUUAAGGGGGAGGAUGGCAGAGUAUUGGUUGAAGAUGACCUCAUUAAGAAAAGAUGGCAGUUGUAUUUCCAUAGGCUGUUGAAUGAGAAGGCGGACAGAGGUGUGUUAGGGGAGUUGGAGUACUACGGGGAGUGUCGCGAUUUCGACUAUUAUCGGCAUUUUAAGGUAGAGAAGGUUAGUGAGGCUAUUCGCAAGAUGCGAAGGGGCAGGGCGACGGGGCCCGACGAGAUCCCGGUGGAUUUUUGGAAGUUUUCUAGCGGGGCAGGGUUGAGGUGGCUAACCAACUUGUUUAACAACAUUUUCAAGUCCGCAAGGAUGCCCGAGGCCUGGAGAUGGAGCACGAUGAUUCCUUUAUAUAAGAACAAGGGUGACAUUCAAAGUUGCAACAACUAAAGGGGUAUUAAGUUGUUGAGUCACACGAUGAAGAUUUGGGAGAGGGUGGUGGAGCGGAGGUUGAGGAAGAUUGUGUCUAUUUCGGAGAAUCAAUUUGCAUUUAUGCCUGGUCGCUUCACGAUUGAGGCAAUUCACCUAGUGCGGAGAUUGGUAGAGCAGUAUAGAGAAAGGAAGAGGGAUCUGCAUAUGGUGUUUAUUGACUUGGAAAAGGCGUAUGACAAGGUUCCGAGGGAGGUUCUGUAGAGAUGCUUGGAGGCGAGGGGAUCCCUGUGGCGUACAGCAAAGUGAUUAGGGACAUAUAUGAGGGGGCGAAGACUCGGGUAAGGACAGUGGGAGGAGAUUCCGAGCAUUUCCCUAUCUUGACAGGAUUGCACCAGGGAUCAACUCUUAGUUCGUUUUUAUUCGCCUUGGUGAUAGAUGUGUUGACGCGGAGUAUACAAAGUGAGGUGCCUUGGUGUAUGCUUUUUGCGGAUGAUAUAGUUUUGAUUGAUAAGUCGCGACAAGGUGUUAAUGAUAAGCUGAAGGUUUGGAGACAAACCCUGGAGUCUAAAGGUUUCCGAUUGAGUAGGACUAAGACGGAGUACUUGGAGUGCAAGUUUAGUGACUUGAGGAAAAAGGAGAAGGUGGUAGUGAAGUUGGAUUCCCAGACGGUUUGCAAGAGGGAUAGUUUUAUGUAUCUUGGGUCCACGAUUCAGGGGAAUGGAGAGAUAAAUGAGGAUGUCUCUCACCAUAUUGGGGCAGGUUGUAAGAAAUAGAGGCUCGCUUCAGGAAUUUUAUGCGAUAAGAAGGUGCCCCCUAAGUUGAAAAGCAAAUUCUAUAGAAUCGCAGUACAGCCAGCUAUGUUACAUGGAGUGGAGUGUUGGCUGGUUAAGAAUUCUCAUAUCCAAAAGUUGAAGGUGGCGAAAAUGAGGAUGUUGCGUUGGAUGUGUGGAUUUACAAGGGCUGAUAGGGUUAGGAAUGAGAUUAUUCAGGAGAAGGUGAGUGUGGUGUCGGUGGAGAAUAAAAUGCGAGAAGUGAGGUUGAGAUGGUUUGGUCAUGUGAUAAGGAGGGGUACGGAUGCUCCGGUUCGUAGGUGUAAGAGGUUGGCCUUGGAUGGUUUCAAGCGGGGUAGGGGUAGACCGAAGAAAUACUAGAGGAAAGUGAUUAAACGUGACAUGGAGUAGUUACAGCUGACUGAGGACAUGACCCUAAAUAGAAAGGUAUGGAGGAAAAACAUUAGGAUAGAGGGAUAAGGUGUGUGGGUGAGUCGUAGCCCGUAGUUAGGAGGGUUUUGGGGUCUUUUGUUUGGCAAUAUACAAUAUUUUUGUGGAUGUCGUUCCUAUGUUAUUUUAUCAUGUCCCAUGCUUUUGAUGUUUUUUGUAUACUGUCCUUUGUCUUGAGCCGAGGAUCUAUGGGAAACAGCCUCUCUACUUCUUUACAGAUAGUGAUAUGGACUGCGUACAUUCUAGCCUCCCCAGACCCCACGAUGUGGGAAUAUACUGGGUUUGUUGUUGUUGAUUAGUUGAGCCACUGGUAAGCCUUUUAAGAGGCAAUAAAAGUCAAUUUUAGUACACAAUUUACAUUUCCUGCAAAAUAUCUUCUCUUCUCCAUCCAACACAGCCCAACUAUUGAGUGCUCCCUUUUUCCUAUCUGAACUAUCAUCAUCGAUGUACUAAACACAGCUCGAAGCUGACUAGGCCAACUAUCAAUUAUUUUGUUUUCCUAACCGGCCGAUCACCAUCAAAGACAGAGCUAGAACUUUAACUUUAUGGGUUCCAAAUUUUAGAAGGGCCAUUUCAAUUACUAAAAAUAACGUUCUAAAUUUAUUAUUUAUACAUAUUUAAUGAAUUCUUAAACACAAAUGCAUUGUUUGAACAAAAGUUACUGGGAUCAGCCAAACCUGUAUUCGGCUUCUAGCUCUGUCCCUUAUCUACAUAGAUGGUGGUAGUUCAGGCAUGAAAAAAGAACAGCCAAUAAUAGUUGGGGUGUGAAACAAUCACUACACCGAAAAAAGAUAUUUAGUAGCAAUUAUUUAACAACAAUAGCUUAAUUGCCGCUAAAUUAUGUUUUCUAGAGGAAAUUACUAGUGACAAAAACAUUUUAGCACUCUUUAUAAAUGUCCCCGAAGCCUAUAACGACAUUUGUAUCCAAUGAGAAUUAACUAACGCCAGUAAAAAUUUAGUUCUCUUAAUUAAAAUGCAUAUUUAUUGCCGCUAAAAAGGUUGGGCCUCAUAUUUCUCCAAUAUACCACGUUCAUAUGGUGGUGCAAUGUGGUACGUGACUCCACGCUUGAAGGUGAUACCACAGUGGUACAAUUAGGACCUCAAUAUGGUUUUAUUCUGUUUAUCAUAGCGGAAUUUAUGUUCUUUUUUGCUCUUUUCGGGCUUUUUCUCAUUCUUCUUUGGCACUUAAAAGCCUUUAUUGUUGUAGUGAGUGGUAAUUUACUAUUAUCUCACAACAAAAACAGGAAAAGAAAGAGGCAAUUUUUUACUAACCUUUCUUGACGAAGAAAAAACCGUAUAUAGUCAAAAAGAAAAUAGUAUUACACAAAAACCAGAUAAAAAAUAUUCAAUAAUAUAAUAUUCAAAAAUAAUGGUAGUAGGAAUUACCUCCAUCCCUAUCAUAGUCCUCGUCUGCCAUUGUUGAAUCCGUUUGAGAACUCCGUUGAAUCCAAUGACAAUUAACUAAAGCCGUAAAAAUUCUAAUACUCGUUACUAAAAUGCAUAUUUAUUGCCCUUUAUUGGUGCAGUGAGUGAUGGUUCAGGUGCAUUCUUUACCAUUAUCUCAAAAACAAUACACAUAAAUCACGUCAAAAGGUUCAAUAAUAAUAAUACGAAAUAAUUAGUAAAAAUGGUAGCAUAAAUUACCCUCCGUUCAUAUUAUAGUCGUCUUCGCCCACUGUUGAAUCCGAAGAAUAUGAAGGAUAGGUGGAAAGGGAAAUACUGAACUUCCCAUAGGAAACCUUUUCACAUAAAUUAAUGUUCUACUGUAAUACCUAUAUAGCCCCUUAAGACUUUUUUAUAUUGAAAUCCGAAUAAUUUAGAUUGAGAUUGCUCCAUAUUAGAGCCUAUUUUUUUUUUUUUGGUUUACACCACCUGGUGUUCGAUAUCCACUUUUUAGGAGUCCAACUAUAUUCAAAUUUUCCCUGCGUCGGGUGCCAUUUGGGGGAGAGCUUCCAACAGAGUGGGUCGAACCCUCGACCUCUGAGUAGGUUGGGGCAGCCCCUUUCCGC